UCAGACUCCUACGGGAGGCAGCAGUGGGGAAUAUUGCACAAUGGGGGGAACCCUGAUGCAGCGACGCCGCGUGGGUGAAGGAGCACCUCGGUGCGUAAAGCCCUAUCGGCAGGGAAGAAACAGACGGUACCUGACUAAGAAGCCCCGGCUAACUACGUGCCAGCAGCCGCGGUAAUACGUAGGGGGCAAGCGUUAUCCGGAUUCACUGGGUGUAAAGGGAGCGUAGACGGCGACGCAAGUCUGGAGUGAAAGCCCGGGGCCCAACCCCGGGACUGCUCUGGAAACUGCGGCGCUGGAGUACGGGAGGGGCAGGCGGAAUUCCUGGUGUAGCGGUGAAAUGCGUAGAUAUCAGGAGGAACACCGGCGGCGAAGGCGGCUUCCUGGUCUGCAACUGACACUGAGGCGCGAAAGCGUGGGGAGCAAACAGGAUUAGAUACCCGAGUA
RNAcentral lists this ribosomal RNA (444 nucleotides) under uncultured bacterium. RNAcentral's name for it is "partial 16S ribosomal RNA". It matches the Rfam family "Bacterial small subunit ribosomal RNA", at positions 331 to 792 of the family's 1533-position model. The record is from RNAcentral.